Molecule: ribosomal RNA, 245 nt
Filed under: uncultured prokaryote
Description: partial 16S ribosomal RNA
Rfam family: Bacterial small subunit ribosomal RNA
Source: RNAcentral
UACGGAGGAUGCAAGCGUUAUCCGGAUUCAUUGGGUUUAAAGGGUGCGUAGGCGGGCUAUUAAGUCAGUGGUGAAAUCCUGCAGCUUAACUGCAGAACUGCCGUUGAUACUGAUAGUCUUGAGUUUGGUCAAGGCAGGCGGAAUGUGUAAUGUAGCGGUGAAAUGCUUAGAUAUUACACAGAACACCGAUUGCGAAGGCAGCUUGCUGGGCCAUUACUGACGCUGAUGCACGAAAGCGUGGGGAG